CCUACGGGAGGCAGCAGUAGGGAAUAUUAGUAAUGGGCGAAAGCCUGAACUAGCAACGCCGCGUGUGCGAAGAAGGCCUUCGGGUCGUAAAGCACUUUUUGAGAGGAUGAGGAAGGACGGUACUCUCAGAAUAAGUCUCGGCUAACUACGUGCCAGCAGCCGCGGUAACACGUAGGAGGCAAACGUUAUCCGGAUUUACUGGGCGUAAAGCGCGUGUAGGUGGUUUGGUAAGUAGGGCGUGAAAGCUCCUGGCUCAACUGGGAGAGGACGUUCUAAACUGCCAAGCUUGAGGAUGGUAGAGGGAGGUGGAAUUCCGGGUGUAGCGGUGGAAUGCGCAGAUAUCCGGAGGAACACCAGUGGCGAAGGCGGCCUCCUGGACCACUCCUGACACUCAGACGCGAAAGCUAGGGUAGCAAACGGGAUUAGAUACCCUGGUA
This 437-nucleotide ribosomal RNA is filed under the name uncultured bacterium. RNAcentral's name for it is "bacterial SSU rRNA". It matches the Rfam family "Bacterial small subunit ribosomal RNA", at positions 338 to 792 of the family's 1533-position model. The record is from RNAcentral.